RNAcentral lists this signal recognition particle RNA (299 nucleotides) under Aotus nancymaae (Ma's night monkey). RNAcentral's name for it is "Metazoan signal recognition particle RNA (ENSANAG00000014189.1)". It matches the Rfam family "Metazoan signal recognition particle RNA". Rfam says of the family: The signal recognition particle (SRP) is a universally conserved ribonucleoprotein. The record is from RNAcentral. Lineage: Eukaryota; Metazoa; Chordata; Mammalia; Primates; Aotidae.
GCCAGGUGCGGUGGCGCGUGCCUGUAGUCCCAGCUACUCAGGAGGCUGAGGUGGGAGGAUCGCUUGAGCCCAGGAGUUCUGGGCUGUAGUGCGCUAUGCCGAUCGGGUGUCCAAACUAAGUUCAGCAUCAAUAUGGUGACCUCCCGGGAGUGGGGGCCCACCAGGUUGCCUAAGGAGGGGUGAACCGGCCCAGGUCAGACACAGAGCAGGUCAAAACUCCAGUGCUGAUCAGUAGUGGGAUCGCGCCUGUGAAUAGCCGCUGCACUCCAGCCUGGGCAACAUAGCGAGACCCCGUCUCU